UACGUAGGGGGCAAGCGUUGUCCGGAUUUAUUGGGCGUAAAGCGCUCGCAGGCGGCUCGAUGCGUCGUGCGUGAAACACCCCGGCUCAACUGGGGAGGGUCGUGCGAUACGGUCGGGCUGGAGGCCAGUAGGGGGAUGCGGAAUUCCGGGUGUAGUGGUGGAAUGCGUAGAGCUCCGGAAGAACACCAACGGCGAAGGCAAUGUCCUGGCUCGUAUCUGACGCUCAAGCACGAAAGCUAGGGGAGCGAACAGG
RNAcentral lists this ribosomal RNA (253 nucleotides) under uncultured bacterium. RNAcentral describes it as "partial 16S ribosomal RNA". It matches the Rfam family "Bacterial small subunit ribosomal RNA", at positions 524 to 776 of the family's 1533-position model. The record is from RNAcentral.